Molecule: small RNA, 498 nt
Filed under: Histoplasma capsulatum
Lineage: Eukaryota; Fungi; Ascomycota; Eurotiomycetes; Onygenales; Ajellomycetaceae
Also listed under: 1 other name
Description: hypothetical RNA
Source: RNAcentral
GACGACUUGCCUAAAGUGCUCGCAGAAGUUGAUCGACAUGAGACUGCAGGUGGAGAAACGGUUCUAGUGGCAGAUAUCAACUCUUGGCUAUGACGAUUUGAGCUUCCGUUCGAUUCUUUCGCGACUUCAGUUGCUUUGCAUUCACAUUUUGGUUCCUCAUGUUUGCUAUUGGAUGAAAUUGGUGUUCUAUCCUUGUCUGCGCCAUCAAUUCGUCUUCGUUUCCGAAGAGGUUCGUCAUCAGCCAAAGCAGCAAGAGGAAUGGUUUCGGUUUCGGGUAGAGGAGUCGAAGCAGCUAAAGGAACAGCGGAGCUAGGCAUGCAUUCGUUGCUUGUAUGAUUAAAAAUGCAGUUUAGAAGCCCACAGUUGUCACCCUCAGGGCAAAGGACACUUUUGAAGAGUCCUAGAUGAUUAAACAUCAUGUUUACUCUUCAGUUGCUCUACCGUUACAGCAUAAAUCUCAGGCCAGAACACCAGGCACUUGUAGAUAAGCCUUCCGCA